CCGCUUUUCCAAUCCCUGGUGUCUCUGAAGGGGCUUAGAGCUUUUAAAAAUAUUGUAAGGUUGAAGGCUCUACUUAACAAGGUUAAGCUGCUGCUUAGCUGAAGUGAAGGCAUCCUAAGGAAGGGUUUUUAACUUGUGAGUCCUCUUCUCACAGCUUUCUUACUGGGCGUCCUGGACUAAUAAAUGAUGAACAGUGGUAGUUGGGGCAGAGGGUAUCUGUGUUUGGGAGUUUAAGACUGUGUCUUUAUUUCACUUGUUUAUAUAUGUAUAUGCACACUUAUGUAUUAAAGGACUUUAUUGUUUGCCCAAGAAAUCAGAUUUCCUUAGAGCUCAAAGGAAAAUCUAAAUGUGAGACUUUGGGUGGAAACGCUGGUCAGAAGAUUUGCUUGGAGGAAAUGAAGCAUGGGCAAUGGUUCAGCUGCUCUCAAUGGCCAAUGAUGUUUCAGAAGGAGAACUAGUCAGAGAAAGUUCCCUUAAGUAGAUAAGAGGUAGAGAGGAGAAAGCCAGCAGGGUAAACGCUCCCACUAUGGGUGACUCCUUUGACAGUCAAGUGGAUUUAGCCCAAAGAGUGCAGGAAACCCUAUAAUCCUGAGUAUGUGUCUUUGGGAUAAUAGGAGAGACAUUAAGUAACUCAGGCAAAUUGAAAUCAGAGGAUGAGUGCCUGCACUUCCUAUUAGGUCAACACCAUCUCCUCUCUUUUCCCAUAUGUUUUUUUCUAUAAUGAUAAAAUUUGUCAUCUGUCUCAGGCUUUGUGGUACCAGGGUAGCAAUGCUUUCCUAUACUAAAAAGGGAGUCCAACCUUUCCUCCCCCACCCACACAUAGACACCGGGAGUCCAGAAGACUGGUAAUGACAAAAAAACCAAUGAGUUAUAACUGGAUUCCUCCUGUAAUAGUUUUCCUGCUUUCUUCAUGCCUUUAGAUGGUACUUAAGCACGUUGCUCUUGGCAACAAGCAUCCACAGAAAUGCUUGUUUCUUAGGAUGAGAUUAAACAGGUUCCUUUAUCACUGGAAAUGUUUGUGUUCAGCUGUUCUGCUUCAAGCAUGCUGCGGCCGGACCAGGCUAGCUGCUGGAGAGGGCGAAGGCGGCAUCCUUCCGUCCGCGGGGGCGUGGGCCACAAUGCCACGGUCUCCCAGCACGACAGUGGCUCGGAGGUACUGCAACAUUUCUUUUGUUACUUUAGCCACCCUUCUCUUCC
This 1197-nucleotide long non-coding RNA is filed under the name Sus scrofa (pig). RNAcentral describes it as "lncRNA (ENSSSCG00050060598.1, ENSSSCG00060043099.1)". Lineage: Eukaryota; Metazoa; Chordata; Mammalia; Artiodactyla; Suidae. The record is from RNAcentral.